ACAAAAUUAUCUUUUCUUGAAUAACGGAUUUAAACAUCGGUGAUAAUAUGGAGAGAAAUGAUUCAUAUAUCAAGAUGAUUAGCAGUUAAACAAUAUGUUUGAAUGUUUUAUGCUACAUUAAUUGAUAUAACAUUUCGUUUGAAAUUAGCCGAUACAACGGGUAAAAAUAUCCAGUUUCGUUUUCGGAAUGCAAAUGGCCGCCAGAGAAACUCACAAUUAAUUACAUAAAUUUGUAAACAUCCCGUUAAGAUGAGUUUGUGUGACAUGUCUGACAACUGUGAAGAGAGGAUAUACUAUCUCAGGACUAUUUGUAUGUACAUGGACCUCACAAAAGAUACACUUCUAAAAUUGUUCAAAUAUCUAAUAAAAAGUGACGAUAUUUCUCGAUUUUUGACUUCUGUUGAUAAGAUUUGUAAACUUUUGGACUUAUUUAAGAAUGACAUUCUUAACAAGACUGAAUAUCAUCUAGUUCGUUCAAGUUGGCCUAAUCCACAGAAAUUUGAUAUUGCACUGCUGAUAAGGCUCAUAAUAGGGUUAUGAAGGAAUACGAUCGCUGAGCCUCAACUUGGGUGGAAAACCAGACCACAACCUAAAGAUGAGUCUCUGGGAGCUGACCUUAUCCGUUUGAGAGAUGUAAGGAACAAGCUAAUCGGGCAUCACGCAGACGCAAAACUGUCUAAAGCUGAGUAUGAAAAGAUAUGGUCCAAGGUGCAAGCAGUUUUAGUGAGGGUGGUCGAAAAGGUUGAUCCAGAAUCUAAGAAUGAUCUUUUAACGGCCCGUGACGGGUACAAACAAUUUGAACUAGAUACAGAGCGGACGAAAGUAAAACGGUAUCUGGAUCAACUUAGUGAGUAUCAACAUGAUGUCGAGAAGCUGCAAAAUAAGGUUGAAGAAUUAAGCAAGAAGUCACAAGAAUUUCAUGUAUACUUUGAAACAACACCUGAGCGAUAUGUGCGAUAUAUCAAGCUACUUUUCGAUGGCGGGCGCCUUGUUUUGUGUGGUGUGUUCGAGAGGGAGUUGCACAAAUAUGACCAGGAUCUGGAUUCUCUAGUUAAAGAAAAUCGGGAAAUACUUCAAUCAGAGGUUGAUAAAGAAUAUCAAAGAUACCUCUCCCCGUCAAAGUCGAACGAAAUAAAUCAUACCAGUUGGGAUGUUGUUCUUCUCGCAUCGGUGAUUUUGCUCGUAUUUACAGAUAUAAACGCAGGUGACAUUAGCAAUAUAGAGCAAAUCAAACAUGUAAGGCUCAAUUAUGCAGAACAUGCAUUCAUCUGUUUAGACGCAGACCAGUUUCUUCUCAUUUGGACAGACUUGAUUAGUAGCUUUAAACAUCUUUCAAUGAAUAUCGACGAAGAGAAGAAACUUCAAGUUGAGAGUUUCAUUGAUAGACCUCUACAAGAAAAAAUCUGAAGGUGGUGAUGCGGAUGAGUAUUUAGAUCAACUGAGAAAAUGUGGUGUGCCUGUAAAGACACUUAAAGACAUUUACAGUGAAACAGUUUAUCAACCGAGACAGUUGUUGCGGCAAUUAAACGAGAGAGGAAUGAAAUUCAAGACAGAACAUGGUAUCAAGUGUAUCACCAGGAAGAACGUUUGUGGAUGAAGAUGCUCCAGUUAUCCUUCGAGCCAGAGAGACCGCGGGUGGCUCGCAUAAUGCAUAGAAGACGCGGACGCUGAUUGAGCCUUAUAUACAAUAGUCCAGCUACCGCUCGGAAACCAACCGCGGGCGCCUUCAUACUUAAUAGAUGUCCGUCCGGUUUUCUGUAUGUUUCGCACGGGUGCCGCCUGGUUCCUGUCCGGUACCUGUCAGCCUUGAAAACUUCCCGCCUGGCAUGUCGUACCAGGAAAGCCGUCCGGUGCCCACUUGUUUUAUAACCGCAUCGAUAGAGCGUCCGCUUCGAGUUCGGGAGGUCGUGGUUCGAUCUCCGGCCGCGUCAUACUAAAGACGUGAAAAAUGGUACCAGUAGCUACCUUGCUUGAUGCUCAGCAUUAAAAGGGAAACUGGCCUCUUUUCUUUCAUACCUUCGUUGCGAUAGAUUCCAUCAGGAAUGAGGUGUCGAGAGAAAUUAAUCUCGGGACUAAUCAAUCUGAGGAUUAUUUUAAGAAUGAAAUGGAACCAGAUGAGUAUGGCCGUCACAUGGUGUCACCGACAAAAAGUAAUGAUGAGGACCCUGAUAAGUUUUCAUUUCAAAGACUUUCUACGAGAUAUCGACAAUUUGACACUGAUAGAGUUGAGAUACAUUCUGAACCUGUCAUAGGAAUGACUGAAGAUAGGGAAUCGCAGGAGACGAAAUCCGAAUUUCCACAAGGGUUGACCAAAACCAGCCCAUCUGGAAAACACUUUGAUAAAUCAUUUGAGACAGAAAAUAGGUAUUUUCAAGAGAUGAUGAAAAGCGCAUCAAACGUUACCGAAGAAGAUUUGAAAGCUCUUAAAGCCCGAAUUGAAGAGUUGUUUCGUUUACACAUUGUCGAAACAGCAGCGGAAACAGAAAGCUUUGCUUUUUUACAACGCUUGGAUCAGACUCAACAGCGACAAAGGAAAGAAAAUGAAACAAGAAGACUUAAAGGACUUAAACGGCUUAAAAGACUACGAAAGAUACGUUAAGGAAGAUGUGGCUUCUAUCAGUAUUUCCUUGAAAUCUGUAAUCUUACUAGUCAAUAACAUAGAAAAUUCCGAGACAACCCGGUGGGUGCUUGUUUCCCUGAAAUCUGUCAAAGUUGUCGAAGUUAAAAGUUAGUAAUAACAUACACCAACUAUGUACUGGCAUAUUUCUUGUUCUGUUGAUGAUAAGGUAGUGUUUUAUAGUUUAAGAAUAGAAAUAUCAAAUAGAAAAAUUUUCAUUUAAUGUUUUUUUUUUCUUUUUUGAAUGAAUAACAGGCGGUGGUCAUUUGUUAUUAGGAUUAAAAUUGGACUGUAUGGCUGAAUAUAGAUUUUUGAUAUUUGACAUAAAAUGCACUACCUCGAAGGCUGCCUGAAAAUUUUCUGUUCUGCAAAUAUAAACAACCCGCAGGGAAAUCUGCAUUCCAAAAAUGCAGCCUGCUUUAACUGCGAUCCACAGCAAUGCACACCUGGACGUGCACACGACGAAAUUACACACACGCACGUAUGCACACACUUAGUCACACGCAAGCACGCACACAUACACACACAGACAAAAUUCUCUCUACCUUUUUUAUAUUGCAGGACUUUACUACUUUCAAACGAGGCCUAAUGAUGAAACUUGUUUCGGAGGAUAAGCUCUUCAUAGCAAAACAAAAAAGAAUUUAGAGAUUACCUGAUCAAAAUGUAUAUGGAUAAGUUUACAGAAAGAGUAUACCUUGGACAAUCGGUUCUUCGCGGAGUCCCGCAAUUAUAUUCACAGACGCGAGGCCGCAUUCAUACAUACAGAGAUGUAUUUUAUGCAACGAGCAGAAAAUUUAAUAACAUUUAUGUCAUCGGUGAAGAGAGAAUGGCAACAUCAUUUUGUUUGAAUCUUGUUACCGACUGGUGUGACAAGAAGCCCUCCAGCGAAGGUUCUCAAAUGUAUUUGUUGAAUGGAGAUGAAAGCAAAAUAAGUCUCCAGGAAUUCGAGUUCGUUUUGAUGAUAUCACUUAGGGAUGUAGGAAAAGAAGUUUUUAUUCCAAGCAUGGUCAGGAAAUAUCUGCUUAGAGGUGAAUACGAAGAUAUCUUUGAGAAAGUUAUAGAACGAGAGUCUGAAAAGUGUCUUAUAAUUCUCGAUGGGUUAAGUCCUUGGGAGGCAAAGUCGCGUUCUCAUACGAAAAUGCCAGCAAGAAACUUUAUGGACGACUAUGUAGUUCUCACGACAGCAAGCAGUGGGGAAAGAAUACACAAUACUGAUCACGUGUUAUAUUUGAAGUAGUAAUUGCCUGCAGUCUUACAUACCUUGCCUUUAAUGAUAUAACCACUCUAAAACCUUUACCAUGAAAAUUGCAACGCAAUUCUAUUGUAUGAUUGUACACAUUAACGCCAACUUCAGAAAAUGUAAAAAUAAUUUCGAUUAUAUGUUGUGCCCUAAAUCUCUUUGAUCGACGACUAUGUACUGGCACAGUAGUAAGCAGAAGAGAUAAACAAAAUGCUAAUAUAGGAAAUUUGCAGACUUCCUUUAAGGAAUCUUAAUCAACCCUUCAGGUCUUUAUAAUUAAAUCAAAUCGUCCCAGAACGGUCACAGAUCACACCUUAGAUAUUUACACACAAAAAACAUAUACAAACAGGUGCCAAUAAGAUUUUUGCACAGAGGCAAACGAACUAACAUAGAUAAAUAAAUCAAAGAGGGAGCAGGACUUUCAAACAAAACUAAAAGUUUCAAGUUUCAAGUAUUCCCCGGAUACCUAGAACCCCCACCCCCCGCCCCAUCCCCUAUCAGAAUCCUGGAUUCGUCCCUGAAUGUACUAUAUUUUGUUUGACAAGUUUGUUUAUUUUUUAUUUUGUUGGGUUUAACGUCGCACCGACACAAUUAUAGGUCAUAUGGCGAGUUUCCAGCUUUGACGGUGGAGGAAGACCCCAGGUGUCCCUCUGUGCAUUAUUUCAUCACGAGCGGGUAGAACAACCGACCUUCCUUAAGCCAGCACAUGAAGAAUUCAACGCCCCGAGUGAGGCCUACAUCGAUGAGGGGCAAGUGAUUUGAAGUCAGAGACCUUAACCACUCGGCCACGGAGGCCCCCUUUAUCAUGUUUGAUGUAUUCAGCAUACUAAUAUAAUUCAUGUAAAUGAACUUUAAGUUAAAGCUAGAAAAUCGAGACUUUAUGGAUGUGUCUGACUCAGGGUUAUUAAUUUUUUUUUGCGGGCAGUAUUAACAGCAAGAAUGUGAUUCAUUCUGUUUAAAAUUCUUUCAUUCUGUUAAAUGAUGAUUGCUUUUAGCGGGGAUAAGUUUUUACACUUUCCUAAAACGUUUUAACAUGAUUUGGAUUAAGAGUGAGGUUUUAUUCACACUUUCGCGGUUUAAACCCUUACGUUGACUGUGUCAAUGCGGUGUCCCACUGUGCUUCUUUUGUUUUGUUUGUUUUACUUCGUAUUUUGUGUUUAUUUUCAUGACCUUAAGGUUCCACGUGCCUUUUUCUUAAAUUGUGCGGCCUUAACUUGGCAGCUCUACACUCAUGGACUUCAGAAGCAUCUCGUCCAUGUAUUUCAAUUAUUUAAUUUCUGCAACCUGUAUUUAAUUAUUUUGAUAUUCACUUAUUACUGUUCGUUACGUCUGGUCAAGUGUGGUGCUUUCUUUUGUAAUACUUGAGCAUGACCAUGGGCCAUGGGCAUGUGUAGCUGAAGUUUAAGUCAUACAAAAUUCAAUGGGAGCAUUUACAAAAGUAAAAUGUUAUAACAUACUGAUUUUAUGAGGUCAUGAACAACAAUCUUUUCUCAGAAUGUCCCGAUUUUAAUUAAAUUAGAGGUUUAUUCAUUAAAUUUGUAUAGACUUUUAUUCCUCAAAGCAGUAUUUUCUCAAAAUCUUUUAUUGAUAUCGUCUAAAGCAAAAAUAUCAAUGAUCAUGAUAUUGGAGUCACUAAAAUUAUACUGAGCAUGACUGUGGCUCUAUAGUUUCACGUUUGACAACACCACAUGGAGUUUUUUUUAAACUACGUCAACGCCACCUACUUUCAAACUGGCGUUUUGCACCGUUAAGAUACAUUCAACCUUUUUUUUGCGGGGAGUGGGGGGGGAUUUUUUUAUUUUACGGUGUAACGCCUUAAACAGGUAAUUGAUAUUCUUUCCGACGACGGCAACCGGAUCUCUAAAUAUCCAAAUAAAACUACUCCGAGUAUGAGUUUCAAGAAUGGAAGUCAGGCUUCGUUUAGCACAGAACAUUUACUACCUAGAUAACCUUAUUCAUUAUGUUAUGUAUCUUUUAUUAAUAUAUUCCUAAUGAAAAUCUUCAUGGAUCAAUUGUUCCAAAUGCAAAGAUGGUGCGUGUUUAAUGUAAAUGCAAAGAUGGUGUGUUUUAAAUAUCCUCGAGUGUAUUUUAUUGUCAUAAAUUUGUAAAGGGUUACAUUUUAUACAUGUAUAUGGUAUACGUUGUCAAUGUAUGCAUUCUUUCACUUUAAAUGCAAUUACGUUUAUGAAUAUCCUGAUGUAUUAUUCAGAAAUAUGAUAAAUAUUUGUUAUUCAUGUACUGUAUUUGUGUGAUUAUC
Mercenaria mercenaria is the source of this 6114-nucleotide long non-coding RNA. RefSeq lists it as uncharacterized. The record is from RefSeq and is a predicted model, not a curated record. The transcript is spliced from 9 exons. Lineage: Eukaryota; Metazoa; Mollusca; Bivalvia; Venerida; Veneridae.